This 347-nucleotide ribosomal RNA is filed under the name uncultured eukaryote. RNAcentral's name for it is "SSU rRNA". It matches the Rfam family "Eukaryotic small subunit ribosomal RNA", at positions 594 to 945 of the family's 1831-position model. The record is from RNAcentral.
AUAGCGUAUAUUAAAGUUGUUGCAGUUAAAAAGCUCGUAGUUGAACUUCAGACCUGGCUGGGCGGUCUGCUUAACGGCAUGUACUGUCUGGCUGGGUCUUACCUCUUGGUGAGCUGGUGUGCCCUUUAUUGGUGUGCACCAGGGAACCAGGACUUUUACCUUGAGAAAAUUAGAGUGUUCAAAGCAGGCACUUGCCUGAAUACAUUAGCAUGGAAUAAUGGAAUAGGACGUGCGGUUCUAUUUUGUUGGUUUCUAGAGUCGCCGUAAUGAUUAAUAGGGAUAGUUGGGGGCAUUGGUAUUGAGUCGCUAGAGGUGAAAUUCUUGGAUUGACUCAAGACCGACUAUUG